Molecule: long non-coding RNA, 175 nt
Organism: Thalassophryne amazonica
Lineage: Eukaryota; Metazoa; Chordata; Actinopteri; Batrachoidiformes; Batrachoididae
Exons: 3
Source: RefSeq, a predicted model, not a curated record
GUCUGUGUUUUUGACAACGCCCUUGCUUUACACCUGCCUGUACCUUCACCUCGCUGACUGCCUUUUUGUGUAUCAGACCCACUGCCUGAAUUUUCGAUAAAGCCUUUUAUAUCCUGCCACCUGCUUGUGAGUCUGCAUUGUGCCUCCUACCACCUGCUGUUCUCUGUCCCUCUCC